This 324-nucleotide ribosomal RNA is filed under the name uncultured bacterium. RNAcentral describes it as "bacterial SSU rRNA". It matches the Rfam family "Bacterial small subunit ribosomal RNA", at positions 149 to 496 of the family's 1533-position model. The record is from RNAcentral.
AACCGAAAGGUACGCUAAUACGCAUAUGCCGUGAGGGGCAAAUGGCGGGAUCGCAAGACCUCUCGCUUUCGGAGUGGCCGAUAUCGGAUUAGUUAGUGGUGAGGUAAAGGCUCACUAGGCGACGAUCCGUAGCUGGUCUGAGAGGACGACCAGCCACACUGGAACUGAGACACGGUCCAGACUCCUACGGAGGCAGCAGUGGGGAAUUUUGCGCAAUGGGCGAAACGCCUGACGCAGCAACGCCGCGUGCGGGAUAAGGCCUUCCGGUUGUAAACCGCUCUCAGCAGGGAUGAAACUGCACAGUACCUGCAGAAGAAGACCCCG